CACUGCUCUGCCCUGAACACAUGUGACCUUAUCUGAUUUUGCAAGCUAACCAGGAUUGGGGCAAGUUAGUACUUGGAUGGGAGAGCACCAGAGAAUAUGUAAAAUGUAGUGU
This 112-nucleotide ribosomal RNA is filed under the name Pogona vitticeps (central bearded dragon). Lineage: Eukaryota; Metazoa; Chordata; Lepidosauria; Squamata; Agamidae. The record is from RNAcentral.